RNAcentral lists this long non-coding RNA (247 nucleotides) under Brassica napus (rape). RNAcentral describes it as "long non-coding RNA (BNAP_LNC008910)". The record is from RNAcentral. Lineage: Eukaryota; Viridiplantae; Streptophyta; Magnoliopsida; Brassicales; Brassicaceae.
CCCCAUUUUUUAAGUAAUCGUAAUUUUUAUUCGAAAUAACUGCGAGUUUUAUAAAAUAGAAAACCGUGGAUCUAUGAUGCAAUUGACAUAGACAUACACCUUACAAUGACUUAUCACUUCCCUCCACUUUUGGCAUUAAAGCAAAGUGGCCAACCUCUUGCCGUGACAAUAUCGUUCUAGCCAGUGUCUCGCCGUUCAUUUUUCCUUUUUUUCUCAUUUGUAUUUUCAAUAAGUGUUUCUUGUCUUC